AAUGCCUAGGAAUCUGCCUGGUAGUGGGGGUAACGUUCGGAAACGGACGCUAAUACCGCAUACGUCCUACGGGAGAAAGCAGGGGACCUUCGGGCCUUGCGCUAUCAGAUGAGCCUAGGUCGGAUUAGCUAGUUGGUGGGGUAAUGGCUCACCAAGGCGACSAUCCGUAACUGGUCUGAGAGGAUGAUCAGUCACACUGGAACUGAGACACGGUCCAGACUCCUACGGGAGGCAGCAGUGGGGAAUAUUGCACAAUGGGCGAAAGCCUGAUCCAGCCAUGCCGCGUGUGUGAAGAAGGUCUUCGGAUUGUAAAGCACUUUAAGUUGGGAGGAAGGGCAGUAAAUUAAUACUUUGCUGUUUUGACGUUACCGACAGAAUAAGCACCGGCUAACUCUGUGC
Molecule: ribosomal RNA, 399 nt
Filed under: Pseudomonas sp.
Lineage: Bacteria; Pseudomonadati; Pseudomonadota; Gammaproteobacteria; Pseudomonadales; Pseudomonadaceae
Description: bacterial SSU rRNA
Source: RNAcentral